UGGGGAAUAUUGCACAAUGGGCGAAAGCCUGAUGCAGCGACGCCGCGUGAGGGAUGACGGCCUUCGGGUUGUAAACCUCUUUCAUUAGGGACGAAGCGCAAGUGACGGUACCUGCAGAAGAAGCACCGGCUAACUACGUGCCAGCAGCCGCGGUAAUACGUAGGGUGCGAGCGUUGUCCGGAAUUACUGGGCGUAAAGAGCUCGUAGGCGGUUUGUCACGUCGUCUGUGAAAUCCUAGGGCUUAACCCUGGACGUGCAGGCGAUACGGGCUGACUUGAGUACUACAGGGGAGACUGGAAUUUCUGGUGUAGCGGUGGAAUGCACAGAUAUCAGGAAGAACACCGAUGGCGAAGGCAGGUCUCUGGGUAGUAACUGACGCUGAGGAGCGAAAGCAUGGGUAGCGAACAGG
RNAcentral lists this ribosomal RNA (409 nucleotides) under bacterium. RNAcentral describes it as "partial 16S ribosomal RNA". It matches the Rfam family "Bacterial small subunit ribosomal RNA", at positions 355 to 776 of the family's 1533-position model. The record is from RNAcentral.